AUCAACAUGAACGAGCAGAAAGCGAGAAAUGGAAAGAGUCUGUCAGCACCCACUCAGUGUUAAUUCCUCAUCAUUCAACUCCAACAGAAACACCACAGCAGCUCCGGUCAGACACGGCAAGAAAAAGACAUCAAGACACCAAAAAGCAUCUGCUACGCCCAUAGUUAGUGUCUGCAAGGUGGCAUGCUGCCAGAUCUCACAGCUGCCAGAGAGAGAGACAUAG
Molecule: long non-coding RNA, 223 nt
Organism: Cyprinus carpio (common carp)
Lineage: Eukaryota; Metazoa; Chordata; Actinopteri; Cypriniformes; Cyprinidae
Source: Ensembl